UACGGGGGGAGCAAGCGUUGUUCGGAUUUACUGGGCGUAAAGGGCGCGUAGGCGGCCACCGCAAGUCGAUCGUGAAAUCUCCGGGCUUAACCCGGAAAGGUCAGCCGAUACUGCGGGGCUAGAGUGCAGAAGGGGCAACUGGAAUUCUCGGUGUAGCGGUGAAAUGCGUAGAUAUCGAGAGGAACACCUGCGGCGAAGGCGGGUUGCUGGGCUGACACUGACGCUGAUGCGCGAAAGCUAGGGGAGCGAACGGG
This 254-nucleotide ribosomal RNA is filed under the name uncultured bacterium. Its description in RNAcentral is "partial 16S ribosomal RNA". It matches the Rfam family "Bacterial small subunit ribosomal RNA", at positions 524 to 776 of the family's 1533-position model. The record is from RNAcentral.